CUGUUAGAUGUAUGCCCUAAAGCCAACUAGGCCGACACAUAUAUUCUUUCUAGAACAUAAAUUUGUAUUUGACUUUAAAAUAUCAUGAAUAAUUUUAGAUUUUUAUUUCCAUUCAUGUUGUGUAUGUGUCCAUGAAUCGUCCAAGAAAUUAAUAAGAUGAUGACAUAUAUUCUCAAGAGUUGAGAAUUUGAGAUAUGUGUCAUUGGUAGUUAAUUCCUAAAUGCUCCCGAUCAAUGGAUAAUCACAGGGACGGUAAUUGUUCCGGUGAGAUUGGUGCAUAGGUCGCUUCCCUUUCGGGUAGACGGGUCUCGAGUCGACAGUGUGGGGACACUGAAGCGAACAUGCAGGUGGUUGUUAGAGAACAAGGGUACCGAACGUGACGAACACGAGAAGUCACUUGAAUGUCUACUCACUCGUCAGUGACUUACUCAAUGUUGCAGUAGUGUGAUUGGUCCUUUGACCUUCGGUGCCUCGACUAUUCACAAUGAGGUUAUUGUAGUUUGACUGUACAUACACUUGGUCCCUAGCGAUUCGGGUCCUUGCGGUGCAUGUUGGCUGCAGUAGGUUCAUUGUAGGAAUAGGGUGCCCACUUAGAUGGAAUCUAUCUUCCUUGGUAGAUAGGGGUGUUAGUCCUAUGUGAUUUAUGAGACCGAGUUUAGAAAAUCUUGGCCAAGGUAGUGUUAAUAGUGAAAAAGGGUUUCCGAUAUUAGAAACUCGAGUAGAAUAAAUUUAACAUAUGACAGACGAUGGGGUUUGACGAGUUAUUCCAUAACCUCCGUCUAGUCGGGAUUCAUGAUAGAAGGAUUGUAUCACAUGGUAACUGCAUCAAGAGGUUUAGUAUUCCAUUCUACUGGAAUGCCACUAUAUGCUGCGAGACGUCACUGGUGGAUUGUGAGACUCAUGAGAAUUAUCUAGAUGAUCGAUAACUCUCAUUGAGUUGCGUUGGAAUUGUUCUGAUCCACUGAAAGGAGUUUCAGUGAUAUUAUUGAUAGUGAUCAAAAUAUAUCUCACUACCAGAUAGAAUAAAACCUAUGGUGUCACACACAUAAGAGGUUGUGAUUGAUUGGAUAGCUAGAUCGCGAUUAUUGAAUCGCCGGAGGACCUAAUUGUCAAUAUGUUGAUAAUUGGACUAAUUUGUAAUUGUUACAAAUUAGUAAUAUUAAAGUGUAAAUGUUACAAGAGAGGACUUACUAAUAGUUAGUAAAUUAUAAGAGGACUUAUGUGCAAAUAUUGCAUUAUUAAUUUGAUAUGAUCAAAUUAAUAUAAAGUUUAAGUCGAAUCAAAUUAGGAUUUGAUCGAUCUAACCAAUUAAGGAAAGGAUAAAUUUAAAUCUUGAUUUAUACUUAUCCUUAAUGGUUAUUAUAUUAUUAAAAAAAAAGAUUAUAUUCCUCUAUAUAAUAAUACGAGAGUUUUUAGAAAAUCCUAGCCGUCAUCUCUCUUCUCCUCUCUCUUCCAUAUUCUAACAAAAAGACGUCCUUUGCAAGGGAGCUAGCACCCCGGUGAGGAUAUCGAUCAAAUCAAGAACCUCGUGUGGAUACCUAUAGAGGCCGGAUGUAUGUGUGGCUUCAAGAGAAUCCUAUUCCACGAUCAUCAAAUUGAGGCGAAGAUUUAUCCACGAAAAAAGUAAAGAUUCGUUUUUGCUUUUCUCUUUUAAUCUUAAAGAAAAUGAGGGAUCCUAAUUGCGUGGUUUUUGAGAUUGGAUCUCGAGAGUUUUCAAAAUCAAAUUUGUUUAAUUUUUUUUUCCGCUGCGUUUUUACUGUACGCAAUUUUCUAACAGAGGCUUGUUCAUCCGUAGAUAGUCUGUGGAGCGACUGCAGUGGUAAAUGGGGGGCUAUCUAGCUAGAGCGGAAUAGAAGAAUUUUCGAGAACAGAAAACUAACAGUGAGACUGGUGUUGACGAAA
Molecule: long non-coding RNA, 1902 nt
Filed under: Ananas comosus (pineapple)
Lineage: Eukaryota; Viridiplantae; Streptophyta; Magnoliopsida; Poales; Bromeliaceae
Description: long non-coding RNA (ACOM_LNC033053)
Source: RNAcentral